UACGUAGGGGGCAAGCGUUAUCCGGAUUUACUGGGUGUAAAGGGAGCGUAGGCGGCAAGGCAAGUCUGAUGUGAAAACCCGGGGCUCAACCCCGGGACUGCAUUGGAAACUGCUUAGCUAGAGUGUCGGAGAGGUAAGUGGAAUUCCUAGUGUAGCGGUGAAAUGCGUAGAUAUUAGGAGGAACACCAGUGGCGAAGUCGACUUACUGGACGAUAACUGACGCUGAGGCUCGAAAGCGUGGGGAGCAAACAGGAUUAGAUACCCUGGUAGUCCACGCUGUAAACGAUGAAUACUAGGUGUCGGGUGGCAAAGCCAUUCGGUGCCGCAGCUAACGCAAUAAGUAUUCCACCUGGGGAGUACGUUCGCAAGAAUGAA
RNAcentral lists this ribosomal RNA (375 nucleotides) under uncultured bacterium. RNAcentral describes it as "bacterial SSU rRNA". It matches the Rfam family "Bacterial small subunit ribosomal RNA", at positions 524 to 898 of the family's 1533-position model. The record is from RNAcentral.